CGGACGGGUGAGUAACGCGUGGGUAACCUACCCUGUACACACGGAUAACAUACCGAAAGGUAUGCUAAUACGGGAUAAUAUAUUUGAGAGGCAUCUCUUGAAUAUCAAAGGUGAGCCAGUACAGGAUGGAUCCGCGUCUGAUUAGCUAGUUGGUAAGGUAACGGCUUACCAAGGCGACGAUCAGUAGCCGACCUGAGAGGGUGAUCGGCCACAUUGGAACUGAGACACGGUCCAA
Molecule: ribosomal RNA, 235 nt
Filed under: uncultured bacterium
Lineage: Bacteria
Description: partial 16S ribosomal RNA
Rfam family: Bacterial small subunit ribosomal RNA
Source: RNAcentral